RNAcentral lists this unclassified non-coding RNA (272 nucleotides) under fungal sp. RNAcentral describes it as "partial internal transcribed spacer region". The stretch from base 1 to 46 matches the Rfam family "Eukaryotic small subunit ribosomal RNA", at positions 1786 to 1831 of the family's 1831-position model. The record is from RNAcentral. Lineage: Eukaryota; Fungi.
AAGUCGUAACAAGGUUUCCGUAGGUGAACCUGCGGAAGGAUCAUUACCGAAUUGUCAAACGGGUUGUUGCUGGCCCUCAAUGGGGGCAUGUGCACGCUCUGUUUACACAUCCACUCACACCUGUGCACCUUCAGUAGUUCUGUGGUCUGGGGGACCCUGUCUCCCUUCCAUGGUCCUACGCCUUUACACACACACUGUAGUAAGUCUUAUAGAAUGUAUGUCGCGUCUAACGCAAUACAAUACAACUUUCAGCAACGGAUCUCUUGGCUCUC